This 68-nucleotide transfer RNA is filed under the name Rattus norvegicus (Norway rat). It matches the Rfam family "tRNA". Rfam says of the family: Transfer RNA (tRNA) molecules are approximately 80 nucleotides in length. Their secondary structure includes four short double-helical elements and three loops (D, anti-codon, and T loops). The record is from Rfam by way of RNAcentral. Lineage: Eukaryota; Metazoa; Chordata; Mammalia; Rodentia; Muridae.
GGGGAUUUAGCUCAGUGGUAGAGCACUUGCCUACAAAUGCAAGGCCCUGGGUUCGGUCCCCAGCUCCG